GAUGAAGAACGCAGCGAAAUGCGAUACGUAAUGUGAAUUGCAGAAUUCAGUGAAUCAUCGAAUCUUUGAACGCAUAUUGCGCUCUCUGGUAUUCCGGAGAGCAUGCUUGUUUGAGUAUCAGUAAACACCUCAACUCCCCUUUCUUUUUUUGAAAUGGGAGCUGGACUUGAGUGAUCCCAACGCUUUUCUCACCGAAAAGUGGCGGGUUACUUGAAAUGCAGGUGCAGCUGGACUUUUCUCUGAGCUAAAAGCAUAUCUAUUUAGUCUGCCUAAAAAACAGAUUAUUACCUUUGCUGCAGCUAACAUAAAGGAGAUUAGUUCUUGUGCUGACUGAUGCAGGAUUCACAGAGACAGCUUCGGCUGGCCUUUGUAAACUCGAUCUCAAAUCAAGUAAGACUACCCGCUGAACUUAAGCAUAUCAAUAAGCGGAGGA
This 433-nucleotide unclassified non-coding RNA is filed under the name soil metagenome. Its description in RNAcentral is "partial contains 5.8S ribosomal RNA, internal transcribed spacer 2, and large subunit ribosomal RNA". The stretch from base 1 to 120 matches the Rfam family "5.8S ribosomal RNA", at positions 35 to 154 of the family's 154-position model. The record is from RNAcentral.